GGCUUAUUACCAACGUGCCUCUGUAAAGAAGCCCCACUAUGAAGGACUGUGGAUUUCUAUGGAGCGUUGGAAUGGUGUAGCGGUGGAAGAUCUAAUCUACACCAGUGAGCAGUACUCCUUGCAUGAAAGCUGGAUAGCGUACAUCUGCAAGGAGGUAUUAAAGGGCCUGUGUCAUCUGGAAAACAAAAAGGUCAUCCAUCACGACCUGCGGCCCCAGAACAUUAUCCUGACAACAUCGGCAGAUGUAAAGAUCAGUAAGUGAUGC
Xenopus laevis (African clawed frog) is the source of this 265-nucleotide long non-coding RNA. RefSeq lists it as uncharacterized. NCBI's taxonomy places the organism in Eukaryota, Metazoa, Chordata, Amphibia, Anura, Pipidae. The transcript is spliced from 3 exons. The record is from RefSeq and is a predicted model, not a curated record.